AAUGGGCGCAAGCCUGACCGAGCGACGCCGCGUGUGCGAUGAAGGCCUUCGGGUUGUAAAGCACUGUCGGGGGGGAGGAAACCGCAAGGUUGACCUAUCCCCGGAGGAAGCACGGGCUAAGUUCGUGCCAGCAGCCGCGGUAAGACGAACCGUGCGAACGUUGUUCGGAAUCACUGGGCUUAAAGGGCGCGUAGGCGGGCUGCCAAGUCCGGGGUGAAAUCUUUCGGCUUAACCGGAAAAGUGCCUUGGAUACUGGCGGUCUCGAGGGAGGUAGGGGUAUGUGGAACUUCCGGUGGAGCGGUGAAAUGCGUUGAUAUCGGAAGGAACGCCGGUGGCGAAAGCGACGUACUGGACCUCUUCUGACGCUGAGGCGCGAAAGCCAGGGGAGCGAACGGGAUUAGAUACCCCGGUAGUCCUGGCCCUAAACGAUGGGUACUAGGUAGUAGACUUUCAUGGGUUUACUGCCGAAGCAAAAGUGGUAAGUACCCCGCCUGGGGAGUAUGG
This 504-nucleotide ribosomal RNA is filed under the name uncultured bacterium. RNAcentral describes it as "bacterial SSU rRNA". It matches the Rfam family "Bacterial small subunit ribosomal RNA", at positions 370 to 885 of the family's 1533-position model. The record is from RNAcentral.